ACAAAUUUGACCGCUACCAGCAGACGUUCUGUGGACGCAGUUCUUUUAGAUGAAGGAAAUCUUGUUUUGAGAGAUUUGUCAAAUAAUUUGUCAGAGCCGUUAUGGCAAAGUUUUGAUCAUCCAGCUCAUACUUGGAUUCCCGGUAUGAAGCUGACGUUCAACAAGAGAAACAACGUCAGUCAACUUCUCACUUCAUGGAAGAAUAAAGAAAAUCCUGCACCGGGUCUCUUCUCCCUUGAGCUAGCACCAGAUGGAUCAAAUCAAUAUGUUAUUUUGUGGAAUAGGUCUGAGCAGUACUGGAGAAGUGGACCUUGGGAUGAUAAUGCAAAAAUUUUCAGCUUGGUCCCUGAAAUGACACUAAAUUAUAUCUACAAUUUCAGCUAUGUGUCGAAUGAAAACGAGAGCUAUUUCACCUACAGUGUGAAAGAUAGCACUUACACAUCUCGAUUCAUUAUGGAUGUUUCAGGACAGGUUAAGCAGAUGAAUUGGUUGCCUACCAACUCUUGGUUUCUGUUUUGGUCCCAACCAAGACAGCAAUGUGAGGUUUAUGCUUUUUGUGGUCAAUUUAGCACCUGCAAUGAGCAAACUGAGCGUUUUUGUUCUUGUUUGAAAGGUUUUCAACAAAAAUCGGUGAGUGACUGGAAUUUGGAAGAUUUUUCUGGUGGUUGUGUGAGGAAAACCCCGCUGCAGUGUGAAAAUAAUAGCCUUGCCAAUGGAAAAAGCGACCAAUUUUUCCAGUACAUUAACAUGAAUUUGCCUAAACAUCCACAAUCUGUGACAGUAGGGGGUAUCAGGGAAUGUGAAACACACUGCUUGAAUAACUGCUCUUGCACUGCUUAUGCUUACAAAGACAACGCUUGCUCGAUUUGGGUAGGAAGUUUCGUGGGUCUGCAACAGCUACAAGGAGGUGGAGAUACCAUUUACAUCAAGCUUGCAGCUUCUGAGUUCGAGAGUCCCAAGAACAACAAGGGAGUAGUCAUUGGCGGUGUUGUGGGCUCAGUGGCUGUCGUAGCUCUUAUUGGCCUGAUCAUGCUUGUCUACUUGAGAAGGAGAAAGACAGCAACUGUAACAACCAAAACUGUGGAGGGUUCUUUGGUGGCAUUUGCAUACAAGGAUUUGCAAACUGCCACAAAGAAUUUCUCUGAAAAGCUGGGGGGAGGAGGUUUUGGUUCAGUUUUCAAAGGGGUGUUGCCGAAUUCAAGUCUCAUAGCUGUGAAGAAGCUUGAAAGCUGGAGCCAAGGAGAGAAGCAAUUUCGCACUGAAGUCAGUACCAUAGGGAAUAUCCAACAUGUCAAUCUGGUUCGGCUUCUGGGUUUCUGCUCUGAAGGUACUAGUAGGUUGUUGGUCUACGAUUUCAUGCCAAACGGUUCUUUAGACUCUCAUCUCUUCACUGAAAAAGAUUCAGACUUUCUUGAUUGGAAAACAAGAUACCAAAUUGCACUGGGGACAGCCAGAGGUUUGGCUUAUCUUCAUGAGAAGUGCAGAGACUGCAUCAUACACUGUGACAUAAAGCCAGAGAACAUUCUGUUAGACGCUGAAUUUUGUCCCAAAGUGUCGGAUUUUGGGCUGGCAAAGCUUGUUGGGAGGGAGUUCAGCCGUGUCCUAACAACCAUGAGAGGAACAAGAGGUUACCUUGCACCUGAAUGGAUUUCAGGAGUGGCCAUAACAGCCAAAGCGGAUGUCUACAGCUAUGGAAUGAUGCUGUUUGAAUUUGUAUCAGGAAGGAGGAACUCCCACGAAUCUGAAGAUGGUAAAGUGAAGUUCUUCCCAUCUUGGGCUGCUAAACAAAUAGUUGAAGGCAGCAAUCUCAUUAGCCUAUUAGACCCAAGACUGGAGGGCAACGCUGACGAAGAAGAGCUUGCAAGACUUUGCAAUGUGGCUUGUUGGUGCAUCCAAGAUGAUGAGACUCACAGGCCAUCAAUGGGUCAAGUAGUUCAAAUUCUUGAGGGAGUUUUGGACGUGACACUGCCUCCAAUUCCCAGAGCUCUCCAAGUAAUGGUCGAUGACCAUGAGCACGUAGUCUUCUUCACUGAAUCAUCCUCAUCUCAGAGUUCCCUGUCAAAGAGCAACAAUUCAACUGCUUCAGCUCAAGCAAAGAGCACCACAUUAUCAAGAAGUUCUUAAAUCGAUGUGAAGAAAAUAUUUUAACAUUUGUGUUUAAGAAUAUAUAUUUGGAUUAUUUCACUUGUAACAACCUGUAUGCAUAUUUGGAUAGAAGCCUUGCUUCGUAGUGUAUAAUAAUAAUGCCCCCUGCCAAAGCAAUUUUAAGAAUCACAAGCCUUGUGCCUCGCUGUUUUCUCUAAUGAACUCUGAUUGAUCUAUGCUCCUCUGCAUUGACUAUUGGCCUCACCUAAUCGCUUCAACUGGCAAAAUUAGGUAUUGAAAUGAAAGCGACUUGGAACAAAUAACAUAAACAAAUAACAUGGGUCAAACAGCAAAAACAAUCAAACAAACAAACAUAAACGUGACGUUGUAACAAAUAACAUGGGUCAAGAUAUAAAUCAACUGACCAACAUUGUUGAAUUGUCGAUAUUUUUAUUGACUUCAAUUGACUAACAACUUUCCUUCUUUUCUUGAAGGAUGGCUUUGGCGGCGUUUCUUGAAGGAUGGCUUGGACCUCUCGUUGAUUCGCGUCCUCGAUAUUGGUUCGUGGCUUUCGAUCUUCCUGAUCUCGCCGUCUUCCGAAGAGAAGACGUUUGUCGAAGUUAUCGCAAUCGACGCUCACCAUUGUCCUGGUAAGUCACGGUUAAGCUAACAGUAACGAUAACGGCAUUGAUAAUUGUUUGGACGGGAUAUUAUCAUUUUCCCACCGACGGUAUUCUGACACAUCAUGUCAGUACUAUGGUUUAGUAAAACUAUUAAUUUAUCACCAAAUAUUAAAACUGUUAGCAUUUUCUCACCAUUCCGUUAAAACUCAGUUAAUAUGUAAUGAAAAAUUUUUAAAAGGUCAAUUUUACCCCUGGAGCAUAAAAGACCAUGUAAUUAACCUUUUAUGAAUUUUGUAAUUAAAUCAUCAUUUAUUGUUCUUCCUUCUUAAAGGACAAAAAUUACCCUUUAUGAAUUUUGUAAAAUUGACCGUGUGGUGUUAGGUAAUUCAUAAAUUGAUUUAAUUUAUUUAAUUUUUAAAGGGCAAAUUUAUUUAUUUAAUUUUUUGUGUAAAAUUAUUAUCAUCAUAUCAAAGAUUAAAUUGCUUCUUUUGCACUUUUUUUUUCAAAUUUAUUUAUUUAAUUUUUUGUGUAAAAUUAUUAUCAUCAUAUCAAAGAUUAAAUUAAAUUGCUUCUUUUGCACUUUUUUUUUUUUUGCCCUUUCAUAAAUUGAGUUUUAGUAGUAUAAUAAAUUGUCUUUAGCUCGUCAAUUUAAUAAAUAAAUUUGCCCUUUAAAAAUUAAAUCAAUUUAUGAAGUACCUAGCACCACACGGUCAAUUUUACAAAAUUUAUAAAGGGUAAUUUUUGUCCUUUAAGAAGGAAGAACAACAAAUGAUGAUUUAAUUACAAAAUUCAUAAAAGGUUAAUUACAUAGUCUUUUACGCUCCAGGGGUAAAAUUGACAUUUUAUGAAUUUUCUGUUACAUAUUAAUUGAGUUUUAACGGAAUGGUGGGAAAAUGCUAACAGUUUAAACGUUUGGUGGUAAAUUGAUAGUUUUACCAAACCAUGGUACUGACAUGAUGUGUCAGAAUACCUUUAGUGGGAAAAUGAUAAUAUCCCUUGUUUGGACACUAAUAGUUUAUUUUAUUACUUGUUUUAAUUCAUUUCUUCUUAGCAUUAGUUUUUUUUAUUUCAAUUAUAAAUUAAUGUUAAAUUAUAGUUAAGACUGUCUUAAACUACUAUAAAUAAAUAGUUUUAAUUAUAUUUUUGAGGGAGUAAUAAUAUAAUUAAUUCUAUUUUAUGUUAAUUCUUCUCUCUUCCAUUUAAAUUCUUAAAUUCUUUAUUUAUUUCUCUCUUAAUUCUCUAAUCAAACCCUUAAAAUUCUACCAUCUGGUAUUAGAGCACAUCCUUCCUGCCACAAUUUUUAUUUUUCCAUUCACUUUUGCCAAUAUCUCUUGGCUUUCGACUGGAGAUUUAAACCGGACCCACCCUCUAAACUUUUUCCAACAUCUAAACUUUUUUAACCGAACCUGAAUUUUCUUGAGAGUUUUUUUGAGGCAUCAUGAUUUUUAAGGAGCUUGAAGGCAAAGUUCAACAGUUGUCUCAACAGUUUCAUGACAAAGUUACAACCAUCGAUGAAAAGGUUACGACCUUCGGCAAGCAAAAUAACGAUCUGCAGAAACUCAUGAAACAUCUUUCAGCAAUUGAGCCAGUUGCGAAAAGGAAAACAACCAACUACUGAUCAAAGACAAGUUGAUAUAUUUACUGGAGGGACCUUUGCUCCUCAAAUGGUAAUUGCUGCCCAACCACCUAUUGAACCUGGCGAACGCAUUGGAAGUACUCUCAUGCAAGCUUGUAACAUAUGACUUGACUUUCCUAUUUUUCAUGGUGACAAUCCAACGGGAUGGAUUUUUCGAUAUGAGCAAUGUCGUCGCCUUACUGGAUUAUCAGAUGUUGACUUAUUGUCCUUAGCUAUUGGCCAUCUUGAUGGUGAUACUGUACCUUGCAACUAGGGAUGGCAAAAUAACCCGGACCCGGACGAACCCGGAUAAUUCGGGCCGGGUUGAACCCGUAUCGGAGAGUAAAAAAAGCCGGAUCCGAAAUGGGUUUUAAUAACCCGGAUGAAUCCGGGUCCGGGUUUGGGGUAACCCGUGUAUCCGGAACUCGAACCCGGAUUCAUUUUUUAUAUUAUUUUUAAUUAUAUUUAUUAGUAAAUAUAAAUACAAAUAUUAAAAAAAAACCUAAUUCUAUUUCACAAGUCAAAGGCGUCAAACACACAAAUCGCGAUUUACACAAACAAGACAAACCCUAGCUGUGCCGCCGCUGCCGCCUUCCGCCUUCCGCUGUCCCGCAAGCAAGUCAAACAACUCUCGGCUAGGUUCGCCACCGUCGCAAGGUCGGUUCGCUGUCGUCGCAAGGUUGGGUUCGCGGUUCGUCGCAGCUUGUUUGGUUCACCAGAAUCACCACCGUCGCAUGCUUGCAGCAGUGCAGUUCCUCAAUUCGUUUGAUUCACCGGCGUGAGUAGCUGUUAUACUCUGUUUUAUGUGAUUUGUGCUAUGUGAUUUGUGAUAUUGAUUUGUGUUGUGUUAUACUGUUGUGAACACCACUGAUUUAUGUGAUUUGUGCUAUGUGAUUUGUGAUAUUGAUUUGUGUUGUGUUAUACACUUAUAUUGCCGUGAACACCACUAAUUUAUGCUUGAAAUGUUGUUGAUUGUUGGUGUUAAUAGAUUCGAAAUUGUAUAUUUCAAAUGUUAGAAAGCUGUUACAGUUAAAAAUAAAUUGUUGUUGUUAAUGGAUUUGUUGCUGUUAAUAGAUUCAAAAUUGUAUAAUUCAAAUGUUAGAAAGCUGUUACAGUUAAAAAUAAAUUGUUGUUGUUAAUGGAUUUGUUGCUGUUAAUAGAUUCGAAAAUGUAUUUUUGAAAUGUUAGAACUUAGAACAUUGUUACAGACUUACAGUAAAAAAAAUAAAUAUAAAAUGGAAGAAAUUGGAGGAAUGAUUGGUUAGUUUAAUUUGUUUUGACAUAAUUCUUGUAGGGUGUUAAAUUCAUAAUGGAAAAUGAACAAAGGUAUGGAAAAUUUAUUUAUUACAUAAAAUAAAUUAAUUUGUUAUAGUAUCAAUUUAUUACUAACUAACUGUUUUGUUCUUAUUUUUAUGAUUUAUUCAUGUUUUUUAGAUGGAAUUCCAGAGGAAGCAAUACUUUCUGCAGAACAGCUUAUUGAUGAAAGUUUGAUGAGUGAGUUGUGAACAACGAUGAGUCAAGUGAAGAAGAAUAGAAAAUGAUGGAGAAAAGUUUAAACUUUGGAUUUGUGGUUUUUAAUUUGAACUUUGAAUUGUAGACUUGUGUAAUUGUGUUAUGGAUUUAUAUUUGUGGCUGUUUUAUUACUUGAAACAGCCGUUUGAAUUGUAGAGUUUGCAAACUAGCUGUUUGAAUUGUAGAGUUUGCAGAGAGUUGAUUAAUUGUGAUUUGUGAGCACUGGACUAUUAUGCCAUAAUUGUGAUUUGUUGUUUAAGUCUUAAUUAUUAAGUGCUGGGAUGGCCUUUGAAACAUUGAGAAUUUGAGAUAUUGUGAUUUCUGAAGAGUGAUUGCUUCUGUCAAUGUUUAGGAGUUAGUUUAAAGCUUGUUGGUCAUCGUGCAAAGUAUGGAUUGUAUGGUUAUCUUGAUGAUGUUGGUGGUAGACAAUUAUAUAGGUUUAGAAACUUCAUGUGGUAGAGAAAAGCUUGGGGACAUUCUCCAAUCCUCUAAGCUAUGUUGCAGGGGCUGUUUGUCCAGUUUUGACCUCAUCUUUUUGUUUUUGUUAAUAUUUCCUUUAGUUACAUUAGUUGUGUUUUGGUUCUAUCACUAACAAUGAAAGUGAAAUUUGAAAUUUCAUUAUUGAUCCGGGUUCAAAACCCGGAAUCUGAGAACUCGGAUUUUUCCGGGUUGAACCCGGACCCGGAUGGAAAAAAUCGGGUUUUAAUCUGGGUCCGGGAGAAAGAAAAUGACAUCCGGGUCCGGAACCGAGAAGGCUAAACCCGGACCCGGAUUUUGCCAUCCCUAACCUUGGUUUAAUUGGAUAGAGCAAAUUAUGGGCGAAAUGACUUGGGCGCAAUUUAAACGGGCUUUGACUACUCGAUUUGGGACAUUAAAAGCGAAUAAUGCAGUUGGCAGUCUUACCAAACUACGUCAAAUACGGACCGUUCUUGACUAUCAACGACAAUUUGAAAAGUUGGCUGAUCAGACUAGCAAUUUAACUGAGUCUUUCUUUAUUAGUUGUUUCCUCUAUGGGUUGCGUGAAGAUAUCAAGGCUGGCGUACAACUGUUCAAACCUGUUAGUCUCGUACAAAUUUUUGAACUUACUAGGUUUAGUAAAAGACAAUUACUUUGCAAGGCAAUCGUUUCCAUAUUCCUGCCAUCCAAGAUCUAGUCCCACAAUUACAAUCGACUCCUAUUCCACCAGCACCCUCUUUAUUAGGACCAAUUUCCUCUACCUUACCUAAUAAUGUCAAACGUUUAUCUUCAGCUGAGCAGACAGAAAGACGUUUUGAAGGGCUUUGUUUCAACUCUGACGAGUAAUUCAAGCCUAAACAUCGUUGCAAACAAUCUCAACUAUUGCUUUUAGACGCUGAUAUACUUCUUCACAACCCUCCAAAACCGCUUGACCAUCAUUCGGAUUGGAAGAUCUCGGUUAUUGUGACUGGGUAAAAGGCUUGCAGACAAGCCUGUUUUAAGAGGCAGGGAAUGUUAGGACCCUAAUAAUUUAUUUUAUUGCUUGUUUUAAUUUCUUUCCUAUUAGUAUUAGGUUUUCUUAUUUCAAUUAUGAAUUAAUGUUCUUAUUAAAUUAAAAUUAGGACCGUCUUGAACUACUAUAAAUAAUUGGUUCUUAUUAUAUUAUUGAGUGAGCAAUAAUAAAAUUAAUUCUAAUCUCAAUUAAUUCUUCUCUCUUCCCUCUGAAUUCUUAAACUUUUCAUCUAUUUCUCUCUUAAUUCUCUAAUCAAAACCUCAGAAUGUUGGAGAAGACGAUUUACACACAUACAAGAUAAUAAAGGCAUUUAAAUCACCUAAUUAAGUUGUAUAGGGAUAAAUAAUUAAAUUACAAAAAGCUCGACAUAUACUGAAAAAUAAAAAAGAAAUUGAACAAAGUCAUAAAUUUAUUGACAUCUACAUUCUGAAAAUUAGUGUGUGUCUUCAGUAGGGAAAGUUAUCAUUUGCAUACGGUUAUUUUUAUUGAUAUUUUUUUUUAUAUUAAUCACGAGGUAUCCUGGGGAGGGCCCCAACUGUGGGAGACACCUUUAAGCCCGUACCACAACCCAGACUAGAAGUCCCCGCUCGAACCGGGAGGCAUAGUUCUCCCAACAAAGGUUUUUUUUUAUUGAUAUUAAAUACCUCUAUUUUAUGUUCAAUUGGAAGGAAUUCUAGGCUGUUCAGUUUUCUACUUACGGAACUAUCACGAUCGUUGUUAUUGAGAAAAUUGUGGCAAUUUUUUUGAUUGAUCAUGAUGAUUUUCUUACGUGGCAGGCUCGGUGAUGCUGUUAUUUCGCGGAGCAUUUCGAUGCCUGCUCUAUACUGGUAAUUUUCGCUGGGAAGCAAGUAAUGAGAGGGCCGAGAUAGGAAGGAACACGCUCGUCAAAGCUUUAAAAGAUGAUGUAGUAUAACACAUUGCAAUCCAUCAUAUGCUUUUCCUUCACAACUAGUUGCAGCUCAACAGGUACACUUUUUAAAUUUCUCAUCUACGUUAUCUUUACUUUUUUUUUGUUAAUUUAAAACCCCCAGGAUGGUGGGGGGCUUAGGCAGGAUCCCUACUUAUAAUAUAAAUCCGAAAAUGGUACAAGUACAAAGGAGGGGGACAACGACUAAUAUCUCCUAGAAAAAUUGAAAGGAAAAGAUAAAAGAACUAAAAGAAGACAAAUGGACGACAGAAACGCAGCGCCCACUGCCGUUUCACGAGUUUCCUUUGUCUUCUUUUAGUUCCGCGUGGGACCAUAAUAAAUAAUAAAAUAAAGAAUCCUAACAUAUAUAAAACACAUUUAGAAAUUGUCAUAAUUUAUUCCAUUAUUUCCAGCCAUUUAAAUUAAGAAAAAUCCUAACAUAUAUAAAACACAUUCAAAAAUUGUUAUAAUUUAUUCCAUUAUUUCCAGCCAUUUAAAUUAAAAAAAAUCCUAACAUAUAUAAAACACAUUCAGAAAUCGUUAUAAUUUAUUCCAUUAUUUCCACCCAUUUAAAUUAAAAAAAUCAUAACAAUUUAAAUAUAUAAAAAAACAAAAAUCUACGAAUUUUUACAAUUUAAAUUAAAUAUUCUAACCAUUUAAAUAUAUAGAGCACAACAAAAAUUUUAUUUGAAUGUAAUGAGAGUCACCAACUUACCAAUUAAUCAGUACCAAUUUUAUCAAGUUGCCUCUGUUUGCAGAUCCAGAUAUAACUUCUUCCUUGUGAUAAGCGAGAUGCAAAGAGGGAACCGAUUUUUCCUUGUUAAAUGUAGAUGACUCACGUUAAAUGAGAGGUGAGAGAUGGAGAGAGAGAAGACAACAAGAAAAAUCGGAACUAAAAAAGUGCUGCUAUUGUCAUCUCUUUUCGUUACUUUUGUGGUUUUUUUUAUUAUUUUAAUAUUUUUUUAUUAUUUUAUUUUUUAAAUAAAAAAAUAACUGACAAAGGAUGAUGAAUGGAGUUGAAGCAACAGACAAAGAGACCCACGUUUUUGUCGUUCCUUUAUCGUCAAAGAGUUCAAAUAGCAGAACUCAAAUUGAAAAACAAGUAUAACAUAGGCGAAAAGGAAUAAAAGAAAAGUCAAGCUAGCGCCUGAUAUGCGGAACUGCAUACGCGUCUAGAUGGAGAAUUAGGGAUGGCAAACAGCGGGCCUGGGCCAGGCUUUUUCAAGCCCAUGUCUAGGCCCUUUGUUAGCUAAGUGUACGGGCUUGGGUCGGGCCAGCCCCAUGGCGGGCCUGGGCUGGGCUUGAGCUUUAUUUAUUUAUUUUAAAUUUGUUAAAUUAUUGUAAAUUUGAAAUAAAUUAAUGAUCAAUAAGUUAUUACAAUCAUAGAUAAAUUAAAGAAAAUGAAUAUUUCAAAUUAAAAUAAUAAAUAAAGCAAAUAAAAACUCAUAACUUUAAUUUUCUUUAAUACUGAUUUUUUAAUUCAAACGCUCUUUUAAUUAAUUGACACAAAAGAAAAAAUUUAGUAUCAUUAUUUUGGUUUUGGGUAAAAGCUCGUUUAGUCCCUAUAUUUUGAGUUUAGUGUUCGUUUAGUCCCUAUAUUUUUAAAAAUACCUUAAAGCAUCCCUAUCAUUAAAUUAUUGACAUCCUUGCCAUUACCUUUUGUUCAUUUUAACUUAUUUUUACAAUAUUAUCCUAUUACAAUAAUGUUCCUUUUUUUAAACAUUAUUAAAAAGAAAAUUUAAAUUACCAGUUUAACACCAAAAAAUAAAAUAAAAACAAUAUAUAUAUUAAUUUUUGUGGAACACUCUGCUGAGAAGUUAAAAUAUUAAUUUUUUUUAAAAUUGAUAAUUUAAUUUUUUACAAAAUUAAUUUUUUUUGGACACACAUGAGCUUCCAGAAAAAUUAAUAUAUAUCUUUUUUGUUUUUUAUUUUAUUUUUGGGUUUAAUUUGAUAAUCCGAUUUUUUUUAUUAAUAUCUAAAAAAGAAAUAUUACUGUAAGAGUGUAAAAUUGUAAAAUCAUGCUAAAAAAAUAAAAAAUAAUGGCAUAAGUGUCAAUAUUUAAUAGUAAGGACGUUUUGAGGUAUUCUUAAAAAUAUAGGGAUUAAAUGGGCACUAAGCUCAUAAUAUAGGGACUAAACAAGCUUUUACCCUUUAGUUUUUUUAAUCAUAAUUGAUUUAUAAGUUAAGAAUUUAAAUUUUUUAAACUUUUAAAUUACUUUUUAAUUUUAAUUAUAUUAUUUUAAUUUAUAAAAUUAUUUUUUUAAAAAAUAAUGGACUUAAACUUUAUCCGGGCUUUUCUUGAGCCCUUACCCAGUUCUUCAUGGGUGAGGGAGGGCCUGGGCUAGACCCGAACGGACUUGGGCCGGCCCAGAUUUUUUUACCAUCCCUACGGAGAAUGCUGUGAAAACCAGCAGGAUUGUCCCUGGGGCUCAUAAACCGACAAUGCACCUUAUGAGUACAAACCCAAUUGGCUGGAAAAUCAGUAGCAGAAGUAGCCUCCCAAAAUACACGACGGACCAAGAUAUUAGUUGAAGAAGCCAUACUACGGACACGUCGCAAAAGGUAUAUGUAAUCCCACGACACCUGGCAAUCGGACCGAAUCCAUGCGCCUAUGGUAGCAGAGUCCGAUUCUACCUGCAAUAUAGAAUGGCCGAGGUGAGCUGCAAGCUCUAAGCUCUCAUGAACAGCCAUAAGCUCUAUGUAAAGGAUCGGACGAUAACCUAGGAAUGAUCCAAAAGUGCCUAAGAGCUCUCCCCAAGAGUCACGUAAAAUGCCCCCUGAAGCAGCCAUCCCUGGGUUUCCCCUAGAGCAUCCAUCCACUGUCAACUUCACCACCCCCGGAGGUGGUCGAAUCCAAGAAAUCAGCCGAAGUGGUCUCCUAUGCCGUGUAACAACACGCCAUCCCUCCACUAAUCUACUAUCCAGGACGCCGCGCAGUUGGGAUGUUUUAAAACCGAAAGCAAAGCUGGCCAGCUUAAGAUCUGAAACUACUCGAAAAAUGACCGCAUCUACUGAAAAUGCCACUGAAUCAAAUCUGUAAGCAUUUCGGGCCUUCCACACGUGCCAGAGGAUGAAACAAGGAAGGAGAACUCGAAUAUGGUUCCGGGAAGGAGCACAUCGCCUCCAGUGGCGAAGCAGCGCAUGAGGGGAGCGUUAUCUUUACUUGAUUUGCAAUGAGGUAAAGAAGUCAAUUGGGUAAUUUUUUUCUGUGAGAGUGAAUUGCGGCAAACGUGAGCAAAUUUUGCAUCAUUGUGCAUUUUGUUGUAGAAUGAGGAGAGCCAAUUUUCCUGACUAUCUAGACGAGUCUUUAGUUGAAUCUCUCCAUGGCCAUAAGUGGCCGGCAUAGACCAAAUCCUGAAACUGGUCAUGGUCCAAUAUGCAGACCACUCUGACUAUGGUCAAGACACUGGAAAAUGGUGAACGUUGACUAAGUUUUGAAAGUUAUCAAAAUUUAAUAAUAUCAUGUUUCUGAUUUCUAAUCAUGUUUUUUUAUUUCGAAGAUUUCAGUUUUGACAAUUUGACUAAAUAAAUAUGCGGGUUAAAAUUUUCAUGAUCUAAAAAAAUGUAACGAGAACUAAUAAAAUUUAUUAUUUUAUUACGGUUUAUAUCAUUUGAAAUGUUUAUUCAAUAUAAACGAUAUGUCCGGCCUUGUGGUGGCUGGUGGGUGCAAUUUGAGAUGGUAAAAUUUUUUUAUUUUGAAGACAAGAUGUGAAUCCCAUUUAGUAUUAUUAUUAAAUUAAGAAGUAUAAAGAAGUCAAGCAACCAAGAAACCAUAAAGAAGUCAAACAGGCUAGAAGCCGUAAAGAAGUCUAGAAACCAUAAAGAAACCAAAUAUCAUAAACUAAAGAAAAGAUAAAAUAGAGAGUAAUAACAGCAGCAAAAAAAACAGAGAACAGUAGCUUAUUUGUUUGCCACAACAGAUCUAAUACUUGUCCGUUUGUAAUCAUAUGUUUGCUGUUGUUCUCUGUUUAUUGCAGCUGCUAUUACUCUCAUUUUAGCUUUUCCUUAGCUUAUGAUCUUCGGUUUCUAUAUGGCUUCUUGGCUGCUUAACUUCUUAACGUCUCCUACGUGUUUGACUUCUUUAUGGUUUACCCCAAAAUGACCGAAGUGUUCCACAUUUAUGUAUUUUAAAGAGGAUCGUUCUUCUUCUCUAUGUCUGUCUGUCUGGCUGUUGUCUUUCUCUUAUGAGCAAUAAAACAGUACAUGAUAUGUAAAUUAUUUUUCACUCAAGUAUCUAUCUUGACAGCACAGAAUUUGUUGUUGUUGCAACAGCCAUGGAAAUCAUCAAGAACAAUUCAUGGUUGAUGCUUUUUGUUCUUUUUAUGUGCUUUUCACUCAAAUCCCAUGUCUCCUUCGGAGCUGACACCGUUUCUGCAAACCAAUCUCUCUCUGGCGAUCAAACGAUCGUUUCUAAAGGUGGGGUCUUUGCAUUUGGUUUCUUCAACCCAGCUCCUGGUAAGUCUUCAAACUAUUACAUAGGCAUGUGGUACAAUAAAGUCUCUGAAAGAACUAUAGUUUGGGUAGCCAACAGAGAACAGCCAGUCUCUGAUAGAUUCUCUUCGGUUUUAAGAAUCUCAGAUGGUAACUUAGUUCUUUUUAAUGAGUCCCAACUACCCAUUUGGUCCACAAAUUUGACCGCUACCAGCAGACAUUCUGUGGAAGCAGUUCUUUUAGAUGAAGGAAAUCUUGUUUUGAGAGAUUUGUCAAAUAAUUUGUCAGAGCCGUUAUGGCAAAGUUUUGAUCAUCCAGCUCAUACUUGGAUUCCUGGUAUGAAGCUGACGUUCAACAAGAGAAACAACGUCAGUCAACUUAUCACUUCAUGGAAGAACAAAGAAAAUCCUGCACCGGGUCUCUUCUCCCUUGAGCGAGCACCAGAUGGAUCAAAUCAAU
RNAcentral lists this long non-coding RNA (13100 nucleotides) under Citrus maxima (pomelo). Its description in RNAcentral is "long non-coding RNA (CMAX_LNC000667)". The record is from RNAcentral. Lineage: Eukaryota; Viridiplantae; Streptophyta; Magnoliopsida; Sapindales; Rutaceae.